GCUCGUGGCGCUUUCGGCGAAGGAGACGGAGCUGGAAGACGGGGCGGAAGGGUUUUUUUUUGCCGGAGGGCGGAGCUUACGUAACCAGGGAAGAGUCCCAACUCACGCUUCUCUUCGCGAGAGGCUCCGGACGCGCAAGCUCAGCGGCCAUGGCUCACGGACCCAGCCGCUCCGCGGAAUCCCGGACCGGGGCACGAACCCAUGUCCCCUACAUCGGCAGGCGGACUCUCAACCACUGCACCACCAGGGAAGCCCAAGGAAGUUGGUACUUUUUGACUGCCUUUAUCCAUCCCUUACCCCCCACCACAAAUCUGAUCUCUUUCUCUGUAAGUUUUGUUUUUUUAUAAAUUUGUUUAUUUUUUGGCUGUGCUGGGUCUUUGUUGCUGCACGCGGGCUUUCUCUAGUUUCGGCGAGUGGGGAGCUACUCUUCAUUGAGGUGCACAGGCUUCUCAUUGCGGUGGCUUCUCUUGUUGCAGAGCACGGGCUCUAGGCUUGGGGGCUUCAGUAGUUGUGGCAAACAGGCUCAGUAGUUGUGGCUCACGGGCUCAAAAGCGCAGGCUCAGUAGUUGUGGUGCAUGGGCUUAGUUGCUCUGCGGCAUGUGGGAUCUUCCCAGACCAGGGCUCGAACCCAUGUCCCUUGCAUUGGCAGGCAGAUUCUUAACCACUGCGUCACCAGGGAAGUCCCCAUUUUUUUUUUCUUCUCUGCCCAUUUUUUAAUCUUUUUAUUUUAAUUGUAUGAGUUCUUUGUGUAUUUUGGAUAUUAACCCCUUAUCAGAUAUAUUAUUUGCAAGUAUCUUAUCCUAUUCUGUAGGCAGCCUUUUCAUUUUGCUGAUAGUUUCCUUUGCUAUGCAAAAGCUUUUUAGUUUGAUAUAGUCCCAUUUGUUGAUUUUUGCUUUUGUUUCCCUUGUCUGAGGAGACAUAUUCAAAAAAAUAUUGCUAAGAUUGGUGUCACAGAGCAUACUCCAUAUGUUUUCUUUUAGAAAUUUUAUGGUUUCAGAUCUUACAUUUCUUAGUUAGAUUUAUUCCUAGGUAUUUCAUUCUUUUUGAUGUGAUUGUAAAUGGGAUUGUUUUCUUAAUUUUUUUCCUGAUAAUUCAUUGAUAGUGUGUAGAAAUGCAACAGAUUUCUAUAUGUUAAUUUUGUAUACUCCAACUUUACUAGAUUCAUUGGUGAGUUCUAGUAGUUUCUUUGUGGCAUCUUUAGAAUUUUCUAUGUAUAGUAUCAUGUCAUCUUCAAACUGACAGUUUUACUUCUUCCUUUCCAAUCUGAAUUCCUCUUAUUUCUUUUUUUUUGUCUGAUUAUUGUAGCUAGGACUUCCGAUACUAUGUUGAAUGAAAGUGGGCAUCCUUGUAUUCUUCCUGAUCUUAGAGGAAAUGUUUCAGUUUUUCACCAUUGAGUAUGAUGUUAGCUGUGGGCUUGUUAUAUAUGGCCUUUAUUAUGUUGAGGUAUGCUCCCUCUGUGCCCACUUUCUGGAGAGUUUUAAUCAUAAAUGAAUGUUGAAUUUAUCACAAGCUUUUCCUACAUCUGUUGAGAUGACCAUAUGAUUUUUAUUCCUCAGUUUAUUAAUGUGGUGUAUCACAUUGACUGAUUUAUGGACAUUGAUCCAUCGUUGCAUCCCUGGGAUAAAUCCCACUUGAUCAUGGUGUACAAUCCUUUUAAUGUAUUGUUGAAUUCCAUUUGCUAAUAGUUUUUGAGGAUUUCUGCAUCUCGGUUCAUCUGUGAUAUUGGCCUAUAAUUUUUAUUUUUUUGUGAUAUCUUUAUCUGGAUUUGGUAUCAGGGUGAUACUGGCCUUAUAAAAUGGGUUCAGAAGUGUUUCUUCCUCUGCAGUUUUCUGGAAUAGUUGGAGAAGGAUGGAUGGUAACUCUUCUUUUUUUUGCGGUACGCGGGCCUCUCACUGCUGUGGCCUCUCCCGUUGCGGAGCACAGGCUCCGGACGCGCAGGCUCAGCGGCCAUGGCUCACGGGCCCAGCCGCUCCGCGGCAUGUGGGAUCUUCCCGGACUGGGGCACGAACCCUUGUCCCUUGCAUCGGCAGGCGGACUCUCAGCCACUGCGCCACCAGGGAAGCCCUGGUAACUCUUCUCUAAAUGUUUGGUAGAAUUUAUCUUUGGUAGAAGCAUUGUGGUUCUGGAGUUUUGUCUGUUGAGAGGCUUUUUUUUUUUUUUUUUUAAUUACUGAUUCAAUUUCAUUACUGGUAACUGAUCUGUUCAUAUUUUCUAUUCCUGAUUCAGUCUUGGGAGAGUGUACAUUUCUAGGAAUUUGUCCAUUUCUUCUAGGUUGUCCAUUUUAUUGGCGUAUAAUUAUUUGUAAAAAUCUCUUAUGAUCCUUUGUAUUUCUGUGGUGUCAGUUGUAACUUCUCCUUUUUCAUUUCUGAUUUUAUUGAUUUGGGCCCUCUCCCUUUUUCUUGAUGAGUCUGGCUAAAGGUUUAUCAAUUUUGUUUAUCUUUUCAAAGAACAGCUCUUUCAUUAAUAUUUUCUGUUUUUUGUCUCUAUUUCAUUUAUUUCUGUUCUCAUCUUUAUUAUUUCUUUCCUUCUACUAAUUUUGGGGUUUGUUUGUUCUUCUUUAUCUAGUUCCUUUAGGUGCAAAGUUAGAUUAUUUGAGGUUUUUCCUGUUUCCAGGGGUAGGCUUGUAUCGCUAUAAACUUCCCUCCUAGAAAUGUUUCUGCUGCAUCCCAUUGAUUGUGGAUCAUUGUGUUUUCGUUUUCAUUUGUCUCCAGCUUUUAAAAAUUUCCUCUUUGAUUUUUUAAGUGACCCAUUGUCAACAACGAUGUUCUGAAGGCACCAGAGAUAUGCGCAGAAUAUUAUAGAAGUAGAGGAAUAAAAAUCAGAUUGUGCCUGAGCAGGUUCAGAAAUGCUUCUAGAAAAAUGUGACUCUUAUUAAGUGAUAUGAAGAACUAGUUAAAAUUUAGCCAGGGGACUUCCCUGGUAGUCCAGUGAUUAAGAAUUCACCUUCCAAUGCAGGGGACACAUGUUCGAUCCCUGGUCAGGGAACUAAGAUCCCACAUGCCUCAGGGUAACUAAGCCUGCAUGCCACGACUACUGAGCCCACACGCCACAACUAGAGAGCCUGAACGCUGCAACUACUGAGCCCAUGUGCUCUGUAGCCCAUGCGCCACAACUAGAGAAAAGCCCGUGUGCCGCAACAAGGAGCCCGCACACCACAACGAAAGAUCCCGCAUGUCACAACAAAGAUCCUGUGUGCUGCAACUAAGACCCGAUGCAGCCAAAUAAAUAA
Molecule: long non-coding RNA, 3229 nt
Organism: Orcinus orca (killer whale)
Lineage: Eukaryota; Metazoa; Chordata; Mammalia; Artiodactyla; Delphinidae
Exons: 2
Source: RefSeq, a predicted model, not a curated record